RNAcentral lists this RNase P RNA (327 nucleotides) under Bacillota bacterium. Its description in RNAcentral is "RNase P RNA component class B". It matches the Rfam family "Bacterial RNase P class B". Rfam says of the family: Ribonuclease P (RNase P) is a ubiquitous endoribonuclease, found in archaea, bacteria and eukarya as well as chloroplasts and mitochondria. Its best characterised activity is the generation of mature 5'-ends of tRNAs by cleaving the 5'-leader elements of precursor-tRNAs. The record is from RNAcentral. Lineage: Bacteria; Bacillati; Bacillota.
CGAAUCGGGUAAUCGAGCACGCAAGUGUUAGGAAAGUCCAUGCUAGCACAAGCUGAGAUGCUUGUAGUGAUUGUGCUAAACGAAAAAAUAAGUUUAGGCGCCUUUCAAGGCGACGGCGGAGAAAUGAAUGUCAAAGGUCAAAGUAUCCAUAAAGUGCCACAGAGACGAGUCAUAUAAAAUAUAUAUGAAUGAAACGUUGGUAAACCCCGCAAGCUAGAAACCCAAAUUUAGGUAGGGGCACGGAAAAGCAAGAACUCAAUUGCAAUUCCGACAUCGCUGUAGAUAGAUGAUUACCGCACGCAAGUGUACAGAACAUGGCUUACAGAU